UGUGGUUGGUACAGACUGUGU
This 21-nucleotide unclassified non-coding RNA is filed under the name Mus musculus (house mouse). RNAcentral describes it as "oocyte_clustered_small_RNA7231". Lineage: Eukaryota; Metazoa; Chordata; Mammalia; Rodentia; Muridae. The record is from RNAcentral.